GUGUGUGUGUGUGUUAUUCUCUUCGUCUUCGCCUUCUAGAAAAAGUAAGAAGCAAAGGCAAAUACGCAGCUUUGCAGUGCGCCCAUAAAAAUAAUCAAAUUUCUUGUAUUUACACAAUUCAACAAAUUACAAUUCAAUAAAAUGCAUUUAGUGAACGCCAACGCGUUCAACGUGUAAAUAUUGUGAAGUGUUUUUGUAUUAAUUAAACGCAAGUGUGAAGAGCAAGUGCAAGUGCGAGACGCCGGCGCCGGCGCAGUCGCCCUCGACGUCGACGCGUCGUCAAAAACGGGCAAAGACAAGGUUGGCAAACACAUACAUACAUGUACAUACAAAAAAGAAAAACUAGUCUUGGCUGUAAAUCGAAUCAAAUCAAAUCAAAUCAAGUGCAAUAAAUAAUAGCAACAACAAUUACAACAACUACAACAACAGACAGCCCCAUUCCCAUUGAGUUGGUCGAGUCGACGUCGCUGCCUUUGCUGUUGGCGGCCGCCGUUCAACAAUUUUUCAGUUUAGUUGUUGUAAUUGCCGUAAUUAAUUUUAUUGUGUUAAGGUCAAGGCAAUUGUAAAAAUGCUUUAUAAUUACAAAUACGUUUUACACAUAAUGAAAUGCGAAAAAAAAGUGUUUGUGCUUGUUUGCUAUGAGGAAACGAAUUGUGUUUUUUUUUUUUGUUCAAUUUAACGACAACAACAAUAACAGAAACAUUGACCUCGCCAACAACAACAACAACAACAACAGAACAAAUUUAACAUUGCUGCAACAGAA
This is a non-coding RNA of Drosophila virilis, 763 nucleotides long. NCBI's taxonomy places the organism in Eukaryota, Metazoa, Arthropoda, Insecta, Diptera, Drosophilidae. The record is from RefSeq and is a predicted model, not a curated record.